RNAcentral lists this ribosomal RNA (253 nucleotides) under uncultured microorganism. Its description in RNAcentral is "partial 16S ribosomal RNA". It matches the Rfam family "Bacterial small subunit ribosomal RNA", at positions 524 to 776 of the family's 1533-position model. The record is from RNAcentral.
GACAGAGGUGGCAAGCGUUGCUCGGAUUCACUGGGCUUAAAGGGCGCGUAGGCGGCUUUGUAAGUCCGAGGUGGAAUUCCACAGCUUAACUGUGGAACUGCCUUGGAAACUGCAAGGCUUGAGUCAGGUAGAGGGAGGCGGAAUUCCCGGUGUAGCGGUGAAAUGCGUAGAUAUCGGGAGGAAGGCCGGUGGCGAAGGCGGCCAUCUGGCUGGUAACUGACGCUGAGGUGCGAGAGCGUGGGGAGCAAACCGG